Molecule: ribosomal RNA, 424 nt
Filed under: uncultured bacterium
Lineage: Bacteria
Description: bacterial SSU rRNA
Rfam family: Bacterial small subunit ribosomal RNA
Source: RNAcentral
AUCUUCCGCAAUGGACGAAAGUCUGACGGAGCAACGCCGCGUGAGUGAUGAAGGUUUUCGGAUCGUAAAACUCUGUUGUUAGGGAAGAACAAGUACCGUUCUAACAGGGCGGUGCCUUGACGGUACCUAACCAGAAAGCCCCGGCUAACUACGUGCCAGCAGCCGCGGUAAUACGUAGGGGGCAAGCGUUGUCCGGAAUUAUUGGGCGUAAAGCGCUCGCAGGCGGUCUUUUAAGUCUGAUGUGAAAGCCCACGGCUCAACCGUGGAGGGUCAUUGGAAACUGGAGGACUUGAGUACAGAAGAGGAGAGUGGAAUUCCACGUGUAGCGGUGAAAUGCGUAGAGAUGUGGAGGAACACCAGUGGCGAAGGCGACUCUCUGGUCUGUAACUGACGCUGAGGAGCGAAAGCGUGGGGAGCGAACAGG